This 449-nucleotide ribosomal RNA is filed under the name uncultured Erysipelotrichaceae bacterium. Its description in RNAcentral is "bacterial SSU rRNA". It matches the Rfam family "Bacterial small subunit ribosomal RNA", at positions 354 to 796 of the family's 1533-position model. The record is from RNAcentral. Lineage: Bacteria; Bacillati; Bacillota; Erysipelotrichia; Erysipelotrichales; Erysipelotrichaceae.
GUAGGGAAUUUUCGUCAAUGGGCGCAAGCCUGAACGAGCAAUGCCGCGUGAGCGAAGAAGGUCUUCGGAUCGUAAAACUCUGUUGCGGGGGAAAAAGGAAGGGAAGAGGAAAUGCUUUUCUUUUGAUGGUACCCCGCCAGAAAGUCACGGCUAACUACGUGCCAGCAGCCGCGGUAAUACGUAGGUGGCAAGCGUUAUCCGGAAUGAUUGGGCGUAAAGGGUGCGCAGGCUGCGCGUCAAGUCUGAAGUGAAAGGUACGGGCUUAACCGGUACAGGCUUUGGAAACUGGCACGCUAGAGGACAGGAGAGGGCGGUGGAACUCCAUGUGUAGCGGUAAAAUGCGUAGAUAUAUGGAAGAACACCAGUUGCGAAGGCGACCGCCUGGACUGUUGCUGACGCUCAGGCACGAAAGCGUGGGGAGCAAAUAGGAUUAGAUACCCGAGUAGUCC